RNAcentral lists this non-coding RNA (132 nucleotides) under Salegentibacter mishustinae. Lineage: Bacteria; Pseudomonadati; Bacteroidota; Flavobacteriia; Flavobacteriales; Flavobacteriaceae. The record is from RNAcentral.
UGUAAAAUCAUACCGGCGGGUAUUACUUUUUGUAAUAAACAAGGGGAAUCAUGUGAGAAUCAUGAGCUGUUGCGCAACUGUAAAGUAGACUUUUCUACAAGCCAGAUCACCUUCCCAACCGGGCUGACUUUU